This 433-nucleotide ribosomal RNA is filed under the name uncultured bacterium. RNAcentral describes it as "partial 16S ribosomal RNA". It matches the Rfam family "Bacterial small subunit ribosomal RNA", at positions 29 to 507 of the family's 1533-position model. The record is from RNAcentral.
AACGAACGCUGGCGGCAUGCCUAACACAUGCAAGUCGAACGAAGGCUUCGGCCUUAGUGGCGCACGGGUGCGUAACGCGUGGGAAUCUGCCCUUUGGUUCGGAAUAACGGCUGGAAACGGCUGCUAAUACCGGAUGAUGACGAAAGUCCAAAGAUUUAUCGCCAGAGGAUGAGCCCGCGUUGGAUUAGGUAGUUGGUGGGGUAAAGGCCUACCAAGCCGACGAUCCAUAGCUGGUCUGAGAGGAUGAUCAGCCACACUGGAACUGAGACACGGCCCAGACUCCUACGGGAGGCAGCAGUGGGGAAUAUUGGACAAUGGGCGCAAGCCUGAUCCAGCAGUGCCGCGUGAGUGAUGAAGGCCCUAGGGUUGUAAAGCUCUUUUACCCGGGAAGAUAAUGACUGUACCGGGAGAAUAAGCCCCGGCUAACUCCGUG